CGUAGGUGGCAAGCGUUGUCCGGAAUUAUUGGGCGUAAAGGGCGCGUAGGCGGUACCUUAAGUCAGAUGUGAAAACCCGAGGCUUAACUUCGGAGGUGCAUUUGAAACUGGGGAACUAGAGUGCAGGAGAGGUAAGUGGAAUUCCUAGUGUAGCGGUGAAAUGCGUAGAUAUUAGGAGGAACACCAGUGGCGAAGGCGACUUACUGGGCUGUAACUGACGCUGAGGCGCGAAAGCGUGGGGAGCAAACAGGAUUAGAUACCCUGGUAGUCCACGCUGUAAACGAUGGAUACUAGGUGUGGGAGGUAUCGACCCCUUCCGUGCCGCAGUAAACGCAAUAAGUAUCCCGCCUGGGGAGUACGGCCGCAAGGUUG
This 372-nucleotide ribosomal RNA is filed under the name uncultured organism. RNAcentral describes it as "bacterial SSU rRNA". It matches the Rfam family "Bacterial small subunit ribosomal RNA", at positions 526 to 896 of the family's 1533-position model. The record is from RNAcentral.